This 504-nucleotide ribosomal RNA is filed under the name Artemia parthenogenetic lineage. RNAcentral describes it as "Artemia parthenogenetica partial 16S ribosomal RNA". Lineage: Eukaryota; Metazoa; Arthropoda; Branchiopoda; Anostraca; Artemiidae. The record is from RNAcentral.
CUUAAAUUUUGGUUUAUAUCAUUAUUUAAAAUAAUAUUAUAUGAGUAAAAGAAUUGAACUUUAUCCACAAAAAAGUACUGAGAAGGAAAGUCUUGUCAAUUUUAAAGAAUUUAUUUAUUAUACCUUUUGUAUCAGGGUUUAUUCAAUUUUGACCACUAUUGUCAAGUCCCGAAAUAAGGUGAUUUAUGUUAAUUAAAGAUGAUUGUUUCAUAACUCUCUUAAAGAUUAACAUCGGUGUAAAAAAUAUUUCGUACCUAUAUAUCUGGUUGGCAGAAGACUCCUUUAGGGUACUCCGGAAGGAAGAUUUUCUAGGGGACGAGCUCUAGAAAAAAUUAUAUCAAAUUAUUACCAGUGAUAUGAAUAGGCUUAAAAGUUGCCAGGGUGUAAUAACCAGGGUCGUUUAAAUAAUAAUUUAAAGUUGAUUAAUUGAAUCUAGCCGAUGCUUAUUAUUAACAUUGAGCAGUCAUAAUGAUAAAAUUAGUAUAUGUAUAAAAAUGCAAUAGA